GACGAACGCUGGCGGCGUGCUUAACACAUGCAAGUCGAACGGAAAGGCCCUGCUUUUGUGGGGUGCUCGAGUGGCGAACGGGUGAGUAACACGUGAGUAACCUGCCCUUUACUUUGGGAUAACUUCAGGAAACUGGGGCUAAUACCGCAUAGGAGCUCCUGCUGCAUGGUGUUGGUUGGAAAGUUUCGGCGGUUGGGGAUGGACUCGCGGCUUAUGAGCUUGUUGGUGAGGUAGUGGCUUACCAAGGCUUUGACGGGUAGCCGGACUGAGAGGGUGACCGGCCACAUUGGGACUGAGAUGGGGCCCAGAGUCAAACGGGAGGAAGCAGUGGGAAAUAUUGCAAAAUGGGCGGAAGCCGGAUGCAACAACGCCGGGUGCGGGAUGACGGCCUUCGGGUUGUAACCCGCUUUAGCCUGUGACGAAGAGUGAGUGACGGUAAUGUGUAAAGAAGCAACGGCUAACUACGUG
This 468-nucleotide ribosomal RNA is filed under the name uncultured bacterium. Its description in RNAcentral is "partial 16S ribosomal RNA". It matches the Rfam family "Bacterial small subunit ribosomal RNA", at positions 28 to 507 of the family's 1533-position model. The record is from RNAcentral.